AUACGGAAGGUCCGGGCGUUAUCCGGAUUUAUUGGGUUUAAAGGGAGCGCAGGCGGAGAUGCAAGCGUGACGUCAAAUUUCGGGGCUCAACCCCGUCUCGCGUCGCGAACUGCGUCCCUUGGUUGCGGGAAGGGGAGGCGGAACUCGUGGUGUAGCGGUGAAAUGCAUAGAUAUCACGAAGAACUCCGAUCGCGAAGGCAGCCUUCCGGCCCGUCAACGACGCUCAUGCUCGAAGGUGCGGGUAGCAAACAGGAUUAGAUACCCUGGUAGUCCGCACAGUAAACGAUGGACACCCGCGGUUUGGCCUGUAUGGCUGAGCCGCCAAGCGAAAGCGUUAAGUGUCCCACCUGGGGAGUACGCCGGCAACGGUGAAACUCAAAUGAAUUGACGGGG
This 393-nucleotide ribosomal RNA is filed under the name uncultured bacterium. RNAcentral's name for it is "partial 16S ribosomal RNA". It matches the Rfam family "Bacterial small subunit ribosomal RNA", at positions 523 to 918 of the family's 1533-position model. The record is from RNAcentral.